GCGAGUAACGGCGACGCUCGAUUCCUUCGGCGAAAACAAACCGUUUUAUCAGCUCUGCCUUCCAAUAGUAUUGGGCCGUACCACUGUUUCUGACUGGGUGCACGGGAAACAGACCCACCAGCUUGAAGAUCGCAAACGGUCCAGUGCAGCAGUGUGGCUCAGGCCUGUAGGAGCGGUGUGACACCUGUCUACCGCAGAACGUGGACGUGACCAAAGUGAUGGCGAUGUGGCGAUGUUGACAACAAGCAGCAUAAGAGGUGGUGGCCGCCGGCGCGGUUCUCACUUCGAGACCGUAACGAUGCCCAACACCUGCAGUAAAGAUAAGUGCUCACCCAGCGUGAUGGAUCCGUGCUGUGAAGCAUGCUAAUCAGUGACAUCCUUACAAAGUCUAUCUGGGCGCUGUGAUUGCUUGCAGGCGUGUUGUGUCUUCCUCUGAAUACUCAUCCGCUUCUUGGCUUUCACAGCACAGACGUCUGAAAGUCUGUCUGCUUCUCCCAGCCCUGCACCAACACGGGCACUAUUUUUAUAAUGAAAUGCCACAGAAAGCAACCUCCUGACAAGACGGGAAGCAAACCACAAUGUCUGAUUUCCUGAGUGUACUCUUUAUUGAUUCAUGUACUCGUGUUACUAAUGCACAUGUUCAGCAAUUUACGAAUGUCAUGUAAUAUAUACAUUAAUUUACUGCUGAAUCACUUGCUUUUACAACUGUCUGCAUAUCCACCAUGGGGCACUAGGUGGCGGUAGAGCUCCAUGACUCACAAAGCAAAAUGAUCUAGAGAGGGGGAAAAUGAAAUAUUAAUAACGAAGACAAAUAAAUAAAAUCCAAACUAGAAAUACAACCAGGACUAAAAACUACCAUCAUACACAUAAAUAGGAAAGAUAGUCCAAUUAAAUGUAGCUUAAGUGUAGUCUGUACUGGAAACAUAAUGUCUUGUACUGCUUUAGUUCAAACUAAAAAACAUUGUAAUUAAUUUGGUAAAAGUAUGAAUGUAUAAAUAACAAACAGAACAAAUCAAUUAUCAAUGAUCCAAAUGAAUUUAUAUUUAUUAUAUGUCAGCGGACGAUUUAUGUAAUGGAACCGAACACAGGCUUAGGCAAGGACAGAAUUUAGCGUGUACUGUAUGUCAGCUCUUUAAAUGUACUAUAAUAAAAAACUAUUUGAUAUUUGGCAAAACCUGAAAAGCAAAUGUUAGAGAUGGCUAAGAGUGAGGAGGUCAGCAAGAAUACAGGGAGGAUGAAGAAGAAGAGCAGAGUAAUACAGCACUGAAGGACACUGCAGGGCUGUGGCGAGAACGAUGGUCGGCCUCUGUCAGGUUCUGGGGCAGUAGCAGCUGGGUUACAGGACUGUUAGCCUCAGCAACUGGGAGCUGGAGGAUGUGGUGUAGAAGCUGGGCCAGCAGCCGGACGUCAAGCUGAGCACGGAACACAGUCCAGAAUGAAGGAUGCAUUGUAAAAUAGUGUGCUACUGAUAAUAAUGAGGAGAGCUCCCUGAGUCUGAUUAGGUACAAGACCCUUUACUGAUAAAUAAAAGGCUUUGAGUGUUUAGCAUUUCAUUUGGCCAAUAUUCCAAAGUAGAAAGUCAAUCAAACAUGAAUUUGUGGCUUGUGAGACUUGCAAUAGAAGGAGGUCUACUUGAGGAAAUGAAUUUGUGUUAUUGAGCGGCUGUGAUGCUGAGACGUAUCAGUGUCCAUGUGUGGGGCGUCCGUAGCCACAGCUGAGUGGUCCUCAGUGAGGCCACCUAGGAAACACUGCGUCAAUACCAAGGAGGGCUGGUAACGUCAGCAACGCUGGAUUUGUGUUCCGAGUCAGACGUCUGUGACGUAUCUGAAGCAGCAAAGUUCGUAUGUGUGGAAGCAGAAACUUCCUGUGUCGCCUGUCUUUUUUCCUUCAGGUGAGCGUUUGUUUUGCAUCUGUCAGAAGCACCCUCGUAACCCCGUGCUCUAUCUGUUUGUACCAGCUGAUGUCAAAUUUGAGAUGCACAAAUACAACUUCAUCCAUUAUAUCAACCUUCAUGUAGCAGAAAUUUCCUUCAAGCUUCCUCUGAAUCAUAAGGACUUGUGAGGUGGUGUAGUGGUGUUUCUGUGUAGAGUUUACAUGUUCACUUUAAUUCUCAUAUCACGUAUCACGCAGCCAAAACAAAUGAGUCUCAUCUUUAAGAUCUACUAAAAUGACCAAACAGACCGUGAGCACUGGUAUGAAAAGUGUGAAUGUCUUGUAUCUAUAUUAAUAUCAAACCUAAAACUAGAACUCCUGUGAAAUGAACUUAAACUGAGUCCUGGCUUAGUCUUGGCAAUAAACUCACAAGACAUAAAGUCUUGGCAUUCAGGAUGUGGCAUCAGUAGCACGGCAGACAGUCCAGGAGGAGUCUGAGCUCAAAGAGAGGUAUUUAUAGACAGGUGGUGAUUGUUGAGUAAUGAGGCAGAGGAGGAACCACGACCUGUGUGUGUUUUGGACAUGUUACAGGAAGCGGGAGUUUUAUUACUACGGCAGAUGUUGAUUUCAGCUGAAUUGACCUACACCUUUUUGACUAAUUCUUACAACACAAGGAUUUGGUGUGAAUGGAUGUAAAAGAUUAUGAGACAUUUUGACACCACACGAAGAAUAUAGAUGGAAAGCGUUCACACCAGAGAGCCUAAGUAGAGAGUAAUGGCUUAUACUAGGAUUGUCUUUCAAAUGAGUGACUCCACAAACUUAUGUACAUACACACAAUGUUCUGCUUAAUGGUGACUGGCCCCAAAGAGUAAAGGCAGAACUUAUUUAUUGUUUUAGUUUAUAGGUGUAAGAAGUACUUAGUAAAUAGUAAAUAGUAAAAGUAGCAAAUCCACGAUGUAGAUUUACUGGUGGUAACAAAACCUAGAGGCUUAGUCGUUACACUACAAAGAUAUGAAAAAUGACUGAUUACACAGCAGGACAUGCAGCGCUAACACAGCUCUUAUCCUUUGAACAACAAAGGCUGCAGCAUGUAUCAGACGGCGGGUGGGAAGCAGACGGAAACGCGCCGCUCGCCUUUUCCUACUGUAGCCACCUCCCGAGUGAACGCUUCAGGUUGGACAGCUGUUCACAGAGUGGAGCAGAUCUCAGAGCCCUGGUGAACCACUCAGAGCCUCUCUGUGUAAUACGCAAUUAGACUCCCCAAAGACAGAGAGAGCUGGAGAAACGAAAGUUAUUAUUUACGAAUGAUGCAAAUUGUUCAAAUUGUUACACUGUAGCAUUUGAGGUAAUUUAAUUCACGUGUGCACGGGAUCAAAUGAGAGAGAAGUGAAGGAUUCUGUUUGAAGCUGUGACAGACACCCAAAGGUUAUAAAAAUAAAAGACUAGAUUAUAAUGUAUUCAGAUGCACAUGAAUAAAAUAUCACAUAUUUAUGUGACUUCUAUGCUCUAUGGCCUUUCAUCAUCAAAUAUGAUAUUGACCUUCGUGGUUUAUCGGGGGAAGAGAAUUUACUGGGCCAAUAAGCGAAGUGAAGGUUUGAGUGAGUGCGAGUGUCAGCAGGUUGUCAGACCCAUCGUUCUCCUGAACGCACCACGAUUGAUUUUAGUAUCUCAUCAAAGUGCUGUGAAUGUGUUGCUACUGGUGACGGGAGCAUCACAACAUUUUAAUUAUUAUUCACGCCUUCAUAUUGAUCUGAAUGUAAAAGCAAUAUGCUUUGCCUCUUCACUGUCUCUCUACACAAGUUCAAGUUCAAGGUCUUUACAUACGGCGUAAUUAGUAUAUUUAACGUCAGACAUUUAAAACAUAAGCCACUUCUACAAAAUCCUUUGAUCCUGCGUUUUUGCUUGGCUUCCACAUAACGUGUCACUACCUCGUUAAAGUAAAUGCGUCUCCCUGUCAACUCUCCAAACUGGUGGGUUGAGUGUUCACAGUGCCAGGAAUCUGAGUCGCUUUCUAGCUCGCUGUUCAAAGAUCAAGCACACAGCAGUGUAGGCGUUCGUUAUGAUAUCAGGUGAUAUCAUUACACCGUGCACCGGUCCAGUCGGUCUGGGGACAUGAAAAUAGAGGGACGACCAGAGAAAGGAGGUUAGAGACGAAUAACCCGUCUGCCCAUACAACAUGAAGCCUUUAUUUAUGAUUGACAGGUCAGAGGACGACUUACUGUUGUUGCACCAUGGGCACCGGGUUUCAGGAUGGUCACUGAUGUUCAAUUUCUACCUCACCUGUGUGUUAGGGACAGAACACCUCCGAAGGUUUGAUCCUCCAGUCGUCCCCACGUUUAACGUUUUAGAGCUUUGCACACACAUUAAGACUAAUAAAUAUAUUUAUUAAAUUACUGAUCAUUUUACAGCUGGGUCGUCCUCAUGAGAUAAAGACUGGCAGCUGCUGCUGCCUUGGGGACAACGACAGUAAUGAUGAUAGUCUGUCAUUGGGUUUGGUGGCAUUAAUAAUAAUAAUAAUUGAAGUUUAUUGAUCCCACAUUGGGGAAAUGAAUCUCUGCAUUUUCCCCCAUCCCCUGGGGGGAGUGCGACACCCCUGGAGCUGGUGUAUGGUGUCUUGCUCAAAGACACACCUUUAAUUAACAAAUUAAUUAUUAAUGUUGUUUUGUUGCUUGAGACACAUUAACACUGCGCAGUGCCACACAAGGUGGACAGUAAAACACCCAUAAUGCAUUGAGGCAUAACUGCAGAAACAGCUGAGUGAGUCCAUAUAUGGUAACAUUCUGUGACUUUGCUGCAGAAGCACAUGAACAAAGUCUUUUUCCGAGCAAACUGCUCUACAAACCCGCAUUCAAGCGUUUAUCUGCUGCGUCACAUAUUUGAAGCAGACUGCAUUGUUUCACUGCUUGCAUCGCUCACUCUAUUGAUCGUGUAUAUGUGCUGUAUUUAUGAUAUGAGUCUACGGGGAAAUUCACACGCAGUAUAACGAGGCUGUAAAUGUCUGACAGUGUGAACAAAUAAGCACAAAUACAGUAGACGUUUUCACUAUAUGUGGGUUUUACAGCACGUUUCUUUGAAUGCUGACGUGUAAAAUAAAGCAUUAACAAAGACCCUCAAAAAUAAAGGUCACGUGGAUGAAACAGAAGAUGAAGUCAGUUGUCCGCAGCAUCCAACCUUUCCCAACUGUCACUGUUGGAGGGUCCGGACAGCUGAGCUGAGGUUAAGCUGAGAGCAUCUCCAGGUCAUUUAGUUCUUAUCCUCUUUAAGGUGGAAAACUUUCUCUGCCUCAGAUAUGGGAUUUGUGGUGAGUGUCAGCAUAAGCCUGUCUUAGAGCUUCUUUUGGAUGGACGAUAACAUGAGAGCGGCUUCAAACCCAGAGGCUGAGGGAGUUGGGACAGACUGUCCCCCUUAGCCCUCCACUGCUUCUUGCGUCCCAAAAUAUUUGUUGACCGACAUCAAAGUGAAGCUCAGGGGAAAGAAUCAAGAGACGAUAAAUGAUGUGUCAGCUGGUUUAGUGUUUCAGACCUGUUCCAUCUGUGAGAAUAUGGCGCCACGUCGCUCCUUCGUUACGGGAGCUGUGACUGACAGGUGUUCAGUCUAGUUGAAUGGAUCAGUGCUCAAGCAGCUUUUACACCUUUAUCUAAAGCUACGCUUUAGAAUAAUGUGUAACACAGGGCAGGUCGUCAUUUGUUACAAGAUGAAUUUCAGUUUUGUCCAACAACAUACUCUCAGCCCCAAAUCUCAUUUUGUACAAAGCCAGAGGAACCAAGUGUGUUCCAGUUGCGAAUGAAUUCAUAGUCAGGCAUAAUUUAAAAUCGAAUCAGACUAUUUACAGCUUUGCAAAUUGACUGUAAUGAACAAAUGUGGCAUGCUGCCAUUUGGAAAUGAUGGUAGAUGUUACUUCACACUACAGGCUGCAUAUUAACUGAGUCCAUCAAGGACAAAUAAAAAUGUCAUCGAGCGAUUUUCUGCCCGUUGUUCAGAUAAAACGUGUCCCAUUUUUUAUAAUUCUAACCUUCUGCACUGGUUGUUUUGAUUUCUGGCUGCUUCAUUUUUCUCUCCAUUCCACAUUUUAUUUUCUCUCCAUCUGGUUUGUGACUCUGAUUGCAAAUUCUUUUUUAUUGUUUGUGCACUACAUGUAAUUUGGCACAAGCCACAGUUAUGCAAUUACAUUAGUCAGUGGUGUUGGCAGAUUGGUGACUUUUUCUUCUUCUCAGUGGAACGAAUUAAGAAUUUAGUGAAAGAUACUAAAUAAAUACUUGGAAGGUUUGCUGUAUAAACUGUAUCUACGCCAUUUGCUGUAACAUUGAUCUUUAUUAUUGCUACUGCUUCAUUGGUAAUAAAAACCAACACAAAGUGGCUGGAACCUCAUGAGCUCCCAGACACAAGCAGUCUCACGCACAUAAUAUCAUCCCUGGUGCCGUGUUUUGACGACGGUGGUGGAUCGCAUUGCCGUGACUCGUGAUCGAUCCCUUUCUCAGGCAUAACUAGAAGAUCUUUGCACCGAAGGGCUCACGCUUUCAGGCCUGUAUGCGUCCCAUGAAUGUAUCACUUACUAUCCACCCACAUUUCUGAUACCGAUGUGUACUCUGUGCACCAUUUAUGCAACACAACAAUAACUAGAAUCUCUUCCACUGUUUAUUCCCACGUCACAGUAAGACACAAGAAUCUUGCUCAUCUGAUUUACACAAUGAUUUGUAAUGAUGUGAAUGCAGAUGUCACUGUAGUCACUGUUCCUACUGAACCGGCAGACAGUUCAUCAGUCCGUGUGACUGAAGCUCCUGCCACCUGUGCCCCAGCAGUGAACCCUCCUUCGCAGUCGGAUCUAAAUCUCAUGUCUUUCUAAUCCAAAUAAGAAUCAGUGGAGCCUGUUCAGUAUUUCAUACACACCACAGAGCGCGACCGGCUGCUAACUGCUCAGCGAUGCCAGUGCCCUCGUGUGGAAACAUUAGCAUCAAGUCAGUCUUGAAGUAAAGCCAGUAUAAUUGGCAAUAUUUCCUUUUUAAAAUUUGUACUUUCUGUCAUCAUCUAUAGAAAAUUCUUUAAAUAAGAGUGUUAAACUCAACAGUCUGCUAAUUUUAUUUGUUUACUGUAAAGGUCAUUCACGUUAAAUUUCAUGUGACAUUUAUGUUUUUCUACUAGUUUUGAUGUAGCUACUCUCCUCCUCCCAGGACAACUCCAGACAGACUCAUUUAUUUUUCUUGGAGCAAAAAUCAAAUAAAAUACCUUUUAUGAAGACUCUCUGGCUGCAUUAGAGUUUUAAAUCAAUCUUUGUGAAAACUCACAGGAAGCAGUGAUUCAGAGGAGCCAUCGCUCAUCCUGCUGUGUGAGUGGGAGACAACGACCAAUACACUGAGGCUUACUGGUGUCACCACACACAUGCAUGCACGCAUGUACGAAUGCACGCACACAUUAAUGCGAUUGAGAGGAAUUAAAGGCUUUGAUUGGUUGCUUUAUGACUGUCUGUAAAACAGUUGUAGUGUGUGUCUUCACUGCAUUGUGUGUGUGUGUGUGUGUGUGUGUGUGUGUGUGUGUGUGUGUGUGUGUGUGUGUGUGUGUGUGUGUGUGUGUGUGUGUGUGUGUGUGAAUGUGCAGGUGUCACUUGCGAGGCUCUAAAACACAUAACAUAAAGCCCAGAUAUUUAUGGUACAGACAGAGAUGACAAUUUCAUGUGUGUGAUUGAUAUAUGAAGAUGAGGAGCAGAUAAAGGAGGAAGAACAAUGUGAAGAGAAGAACAGAAGGAUGACAGCACAGCAUGAAAAAUAUGUAACUUCAAGAGGUGAAGGAAGAGUAAAAAGUAAAAAGAGAAAGAAAGAAAGAAAGAAAGAAAGAAAGAAAGAAACAAAGAAACAAAGAAACAAAGAAACAAAGAAACAAAGAUACACCUUAGGUAAACACAUUCAUAACUAAAUAACUGCUGUGCUGUUAACUGUUAAAUUAAUAUUAAUACCUAUAAUAAUGUUAAGGUGUGUUCAUACAAUCAUACAUAAAUCGACUCAUAUACAUACACUCAUGCAUAUAUAUUAUUUAGGGCUGGGCCUGUUAUAAUAUAUAAUAUUAUAUAUAUAGUAUAUAAUAUUGCGCGUGUUUUACGUGGACACAGUGUUGCCAGACAUUUUUUUUAAACUAUUAUUUAUACAAUAGUUUUGACACAAGCAGCUUUAAUGGCUUGUCUGUGAGUUUGACGCUACGUUUCAGGGAUGGAUUCAACCUGUUCCAAAAAUGAAUAAAGGAAUUGUUUAAUUGAAAAAAUUAAGAUCCUGCAUUAUUUCUUUAGGUUAUCUGCACAUAGAAUAAGGGUGUUUUUAAAUGUGCUGUGAUUUUUAAAGUUGUUUUUACCUCAUACGAUAGUUUGGGUCAAAAUAUGCUAAUUUUAAAGCAACAAUACCAUAUUUCUUCAUUUCCCAUCUGGCAACAGUGUGUCAAAGUGGAGUUCGUGGAAACAAGUCAUUCAUGGCAAAGCUGAAUCUGAAUCAGCUGAAUCACUGUAGUACUUUGAGUCUGAAGUAUCACUUAAAUGCAAUACACACGGUUGAUGCCAGCAAAUCACCCACCUAAAUAAACAAUGGAAGGAGACUUCGGCAAACUAUAUUGUAUGUAGCGUGUGGGAGAAGUAUAAAUAAAAGCAAGGCAAGCUAACAAAUGCCAUAGCUAAGUGGUUACCUACAAACUGCAAGUCAAUUAGUGUUGGAAGAUGUUUAAUAAAAGGUCUAAUAGAAUUACAGUACAACAAUACAACUUACAACCAAGUGUAUGAACACGUCCAUUUCCACAGCAAAAUACAAACUACUGAUGUCAGUGUGAAUCAAGGCUUCAUUGAUUGUCAUUGGAGCCUUUUGCUAUUUGUUGUCUUUGUAGUUUAUGUAAAAUUUACCUUUUAUGCAAAUAAUUGGAUUCAGAUGAAGAAAUGCUUUGAUUUACUGAAUCCAUGACAUUCAGUUUUCCAACUAUGUCAGAAAACUGAAAUGUUGUAAAUAUUACAGAAAAUACAUAAAAACUAAAAUACAGUCAAAUCUAUUCUCUAUCUAUUUCUCUUUGGUCACAAAAGCUAAAACAGUGGAGUUUAGACUGUUUGAAUGACGUCAGUGUUAACUGUUUUGCAAAAGGGAAGAGAAAAUGUGUCAAUCCAAUGAGAACGGGUUUACACAUUUGCUACAUGUGUCUGAUGCACUGCUGGAAUAUUGAUGAUGAAAAUAAGUGGAACCUAGUUAUGCAAAACAGACUAAUAAAAACUGUAAUAGAAUGGUGAACGAAUGAAAUAACGAAGGGCAGCACGUGUGAACCUCCUUCAAGACGCACCAUAUGGGGUUUAUUUUAUUUAUUAGUGCAUUUUCAUGUAUUCAUUGAUGUAUCAUUGUUUUGCAUUAGAGAAGAGAGAGAGGCUUGCUUAUGUAUUAGAGAAGGCAGGAUGUGUGUGUGUGUCUUAUGAAAAGUCAUUUAAGUGACAUAGUCUGUGAAGCACAAUGGAACAUUGAGAGGCCAUUGUCCUGUAAGAGGAAUCAUAUGUUAAGUGACCAGUUUUAGUGCAUGUUAGAAAUCAUAUGUUGUGUGUCCUGAGUUUCAAUAUAUAUUCAGAGUCAUAUAGUCAGAAGGCAUAAGCAGAGUAUAUAAUCCUGUGUGUGUAGAGUUGGUCAGUCUCUGACUUGCUAAGGAGCGAGAGAAGUCAUAGCUGCAGAUAUCUGCAACGGGCACAAACGUCCGGUAAAAGAUGGAAAAAGGUAAAGAGAAUAAAAUACAAGGUGUGUGGUUAGAGUUCCGAUAAAAAGGGUUGAAGUCCCGUCAAACGUUCUAGGUGUGACAACCGCAGGUCCGAUGGGAUUCUGUAAAAGCUAGAUAAGGGUCUCUGGGGAAAUUGAGGACCCCCUGAGAUAUCUGACUAGUAUUUAAAAUUGUUGAUGGGUUAGAGAUAAAAUAAACUGUUGAUGGGUUAAAGCAGCGGUCCCCAACCUUUUUGCACCACAGAAAAAUAUAAAUAAAAAGGGCAAUAACAUAAAUCCCGCCAAUCCCAUCUGUUCUACUGAGGGUUAUCAACCUUUUCGGCUGAGAGCCCCUCAAGAGGACUCAGAGAAGGAUUCUGGCAAGGAAGAGAAGUAGAUCGUCAUGGAACAGAGGAACACAAUGUUUCCUUUCCUAUCUAACAACAGAGCAAGUUGACACAAAGACUGAAGGUUUUAAGAUCUUAGAAUAAACGUUAUCCUAGUACAAAGUAAAACUUGACUGUCCAAAUAUGGUGUUGUGGGGUAUUUGUAGAGUGAUUUUUUCUUUUAGCUAAUAUAUUUAUAGUCAUAGUAGGGGGAAUUUUAAUGUGAAAAUGCAUGGUCCAAGGCUUCACAUACAGCUCAUCCAGAACAUGAAAUAAGGGAGCUAUAAGCUCAGAUCACUGAAUCAAAACCUACCAGUUGAACUACAGUGGGAGUCAUCCACUUCAUUCCAACGUAACGUUGGAAUGAAGUGACAUUGACAUAUGUAGUGUGAUCAAUUGUCAUGGAAGCCCCGCUGGCUGGAGAGGGUGUGAUGUAUAUUUGUGUAACUCCCAUUUGCUUAACACAUGGUGCAAUGUCUGGAGUAUUGAUUAAGAAAGUAUACGGGGGGCGAUUGAACUCUGCAGAUGACUACAACAAUGAUCAGUGGUGGAGAAUAUAAGUUUUGUUAGAGAAGUUUAGAGAAGUGCAGUGGGUAGAACUAGCACCUCGACAAGGGCUUGGGUGUGAUUCCCAGGGCGGACCGGGUGCCUUACUGUGUGGAGUUUGUAUGUUCGCGUGGGUUCUUCCUCCUAUGCUCCAAAAACGUUAGAUUAAUUGGUCACUCUAAAUUGUGUGUGAAUGGUUGUCUGUCUGUGUGUUGCCCUGUAAGUGUGUGUGUCCAGGGUGUACCCCGCCUCUCGCCUGUAGACAGCUGGAAUAGGCUCCAGCAACUUCCACAGGAAACAAGCGGUAGAAGAUGGAUGGAUGUAAGUUUGUGCGACAGAGCAUCCACUAGUUCUAACCAUCUAGCAGAACUGAGAAAAUCCACAUUAGCCUAGCGAGGAUUUGAUCUUUAUGAUUCUGGGAGUAAAUGUCACUCGAACAAAUCUCAUGACUGUAAUCCAAAUUAAUCUCAUAGAUCCACCAAAACCAACUAACAUGUUUAUCAAUCUCACAGGGGCAGAAUAGCACUAGACAAUUUGGACAGUAUUGAUUACACCCAAGUUAGAGCCAAAGAUAUAGGUUGCAAGGCAGCAACAUAUGUGGACUCUAAUUUGUAGUUAGAUUGACUAAUACUGCUAAAGAACAGGGCAUGGGGACGGUUUAGCAUGCGCCUCAGCCCAUCCUAAUUGAUCACUGAACCAGCUUCCUUAUAUUCUGAUGACACGUGCAUGCUGGGACUCACCCACCAAGCAACACCUUGUACAAGUUAAUUGUACAACUUCAGCUUCAAUAUUCCAAUAUCACCAAUAUCUAAAAAACAAAACUAUAGUAGGACCUUUUACACCCUUUAAAAGACAUGGCAAUUAUACUCGUAUAGGAACAUCACUUAUUAUACAAUUAGGAUCAGUUGACUUGGGUUAGCCAGAGUGUGAUUGUACUGGUAUUGUGGGGAACAUCGACUUGUACUAUGUUAAGAUAUGUGUGUUUAGGAGCCCCAUUGGCCCUAAUUGGCCCAGAAGGUAGGGCAGUCCCAGUAGGAAUUUAUUCUUCCCCCUUAGCAGCCCUCACCCAAAGAAGGUGCAGGUAUGUGUUGUGCAGAGUGAGUCGAGAAUUCUCAUUUGAUUUAUCUGCAGUAAGUGCCACCUAUAUUGAUGUCAUUGGGGUGCCCAGAGGGGUGCCUGAUAAGUUCAGACAUGUUAUUCGCGGAAAAGGGGGGAGUGUGUGCAAUGUUUGGAUACGUGCUGUACUUUCAUUCCUAAUACCACAGAAUGGUCAGAACGGACCACUGUUGGGUCAAUGUUGUCCACCCCAGGAGAACCAGAGGCAAACAUUCCCCCCAGUGGGAGGGUCAUCCCAAGAGAAUGGAGCCCGAGGACCCACGGUCUUUACGGAGUCCACCAGGAGAAGCCCCCGUGCCAAGAGAGGGACUCACCCCUACAAGAGUCGUCAGAAGAAGAAAUCACCCAGGCAGCGGAUCCACGGAGAACAGACACCCCCACCACAACCAUACCACAUACAACACAUAGACACACACCUACAUUAACGGAGACAUCCAGGAGCAGAACCGCUGGCCUCACCUCUAGGCCCCAGUGAAAGACCCUACCCUGCCCUAAAUGUAUAUGUAUGUGCUUAGGUAUGAGGAACCCAGGAAGACUGCCAGUUCACCAAAGGGUCCAGCAGACAGAGCCAUCUAAGCAAAGGCCCUAACCACUGGUCCCCCAGGGAGGCAGCCUCCAGAGUCUUGGAUGAGUGUAUAUGACUAAUGCAAUUAAAACUUCCCAGUAGUCCCUCCAGCAGUAGGACUCCCCUUACAGACCUAAGUGGAUGGGUGUUGGAUAUUGUAGUUGGGAAGCAAGGCACCAGGGUCUGCAAAGCCAGGUUCUCCCUCGCCCUGCUACCUAUCCCACUAUCACCCACCACCCCACAACAACAAAAAGGCAAGUCAGACCUAGGGACCAUGGUACUACUAUCUAGGGCAUCACAAACAGUGCAGCCAGAACCACCCUCCCUCCUCUGUCACACUUGAACAUUUUCUCAUUCAAGCAUGCUCAUGCUGACCUGUGUGAACCACCUGUUUUAUAACCAUAACCAUAUCCCUAUCAAUUAUUGUCUGUUUCAGCACCAUGAUACAUCUAACCCUUAUCAUGACGAUACCCGACUGGAGGAGUCCUAGUCAUUUAGGAGGCCAUCGUUCCUCCAAGAUCCCAUACAUCACUUUGCUGUAUGACACUUUAAAAUCGAGGUCCAGGCCUUUAGGGAGGGACCAAACUUCCUAGGCUCUGUACCAGUCCAUAAGCAGGCGCUGCUGGGUUUCAUCCUUAUCACAAUGAGUCACAGGGCACUGCUUAGUUGAAACGUGACAGCUCCAUGAGACCACAGCUCUGAUUGUGAGUCUUCCCACGCUCCUUAACCAAUGGGUGUCUCUGAUCAUUCAACAUUUUUGUGGGUAUGUGCUUGUACACAAUAUUUUCACUGUAGUUAUAUUUUACUACUGUGUUGUAAAUGUCUUUGUUGGUGAUUCAAGUCCAAGUAAAAUGCCUGUGUUUGGCAAUAUAGUCUCAAUAGAGCAGUUUGUAGUAGGAAUUUUAUGACACUUGGAUAAGUCUCAGACCCAGGAGGAGUUAUUAGAAUUGGCAGUGGAUACAAUUUUUAACAAAAGUUAUGAAUAAGUUUGCUGCUAAGUCUAUGGCGCUCCUCCAUAUUUGGUUCUUUUAAACAACAGCUCUCUUUUAUCAAUGUGUCAGGCCAUGUCGCAUCGUGUGUUCACCCUGCUGAACUGUCUGCUACUCCAACUCCAGGUACUCAUUGCUUUUUGAAUCUGCUCUGCAUAGUUCUGAUUUUUUAGUUUUUUUUCUAGCUCUGUAAGCCGUAAUUUCCUUGUGGUUUCCUGGUAGCCAUUCUCACCAUUCUCAAGCAGAUAAUUGCAUCUGUGUACAGUAUUUUGCAUUUGUUUGCGUUUUUGAAUAAGCUUUUUUUUUUUUUCGUUGGGGAGAGUU
Molecule: RNA transcript, 13492 nt
Organism: Betta splendens (Siamese fighting fish)
Lineage: Eukaryota; Metazoa; Chordata; Actinopteri; Anabantiformes; Osphronemidae
Gene name: up-regulator of cell proliferation-like
Exons: 4
Source: RefSeq, a predicted model, not a curated record